GAUGAACGCUGGCGGCGUGCUUAACACAUGCAAGUCGAACGAAGCACUUUUAUUUGAUUUCUUCGGAAUGAAGAUUUUAGUGACUGAGUGGCGGACGGGUGAGUAACGCGUGGGUAACCUGCCUCAUACAGGGGGAUAACAGUUGGAAAUGACUGCUAAUACCGCAUAAGACCACAGUACCGCAUGGUGCAGGGGUAAAACUCCGGUGGUAUGAGAUGGACCCGCGUCUGAUUAGGUAGUUGGUGGGGUAACGGCCUACCAAGCCGACGAUCAGUAGCCGACCUGAGAGGGUGACCGGCCACAUUGGGACUGAGACACGGCCCAA
Molecule: ribosomal RNA, 325 nt
Filed under: uncultured bacterium
Lineage: Bacteria
Description: bacterial SSU rRNA
Rfam family: Bacterial small subunit ribosomal RNA
Source: RNAcentral